AGCAUCGGAUUCCAGACCCGAAGGUCAUCGGUUCAAGUCCGGUAGUG
Molecule: transfer RNA, 47 nt
Filed under: Ditylum brightwellii
Lineage: Eukaryota; Bacillariophyta; Thalassiosirophyceae; Lithodesmiales; Lithodesmiaceae
Description: partial tRNA
Source: RNAcentral